GUGACUGUAUAGGGCGAUAGAUGUAGCGGCCGCGAUUCGCCUUGUGCCAGCAGCCGCGUAAACAUAUCCUAGGGCAAGCGUUAAUCAGAAUUACUGGGCGUAAAGACCCUCGGAGGCGGUUUUUUAAGUCAGAUGUGAAAUACCUAAGCUUAACUUAGGAAUUGCAUUUGAAACUAAAUUACUUGAGUUUUGUAGAGGGAGGUAGAAUUCUAGGUGUGGCGGUGGAGUGCGUAGAUAUCUAGAGGAAUACCUGUGGCGAAAGCGACCUCCUGGACAAAAACUGACGCUGAGGUGCGAAAGCGUGGGGAGCAAACAGGAUUAGAUACCCUGGUAGUCCAUGCUGUAAACGAUGUCGACUUGGGAGGUUGUUUCCUUGAGAGGGGGCUUCCGAAGCUAACGCAUUAAUGUCUACUCGCCUGGGGAGUACGGCCGCAAGUCUAUGGAGGUGCGAGUGAAAUGACGGGGGCCCGCACAAGCGGUGGAGCAUGUGUUUAGAUGUCGAUGGCAGCGCGGAAGAACGUUUACCUGGGCUUGACAUCCAUAAGAUUUUUUAGAGAUAGAGAAGUGCCUUUAGCGCAGUUAUGAGGACAGGUCGCUGCAUGGCUGUCAUCAGCUCAUGCUUUAAGAUAUUUGCGUUAAGUUCCCGCAAUGAGCGCAAUUCAUUGUUCUCUGUUGCAAUCAGGUUAUUGCUGGGAACUCAAAGGAGGAAUGCCGGGUAAUAUGCUGGAGGAAAGGUGGGGGACCAACAUCAAGGUCAAUCAAUGGCGCUUAACGAGCAAAGAGUAACCACACGUGCCUAACAAUGGCAUGUUACUAAAGAGUAAGCAAAUUCUUGCUGAAGACAAGGCAAAGCCUUAUAGAAGGUUUGUCUCUAAGGUGCGGGAGUGGAGGGUCUGUCAAAACUCCGCCUCCACCAGGAGGCCGGGAAAUCGCCUAAGG
Molecule: ribosomal RNA, 939 nt
Filed under: uncultured bacterium
Lineage: Bacteria
Description: bacterial SSU rRNA
Rfam family: Bacterial small subunit ribosomal RNA
Source: RNAcentral